GAUGAUCCAUCCAAGUAGAACCCGAUCGAGGCGACGAUGAUGAUGAUGAUCCGUAAGGGUAAGAUUGGAAAAGUACUUUUGUAUCAUCGUUUCAUUGAUUGAAUUUGAAUGAUAAGAUCAAAUCGAUCUUCUCUGUUCUUCUUCUUCAGUAAAAGAAAACAAUAUCGAUUACUGAGUCUAGCCACGGCGAAGCUUUCACCAGCGAAGAGAGGUAUUUGUAAAAAGCCCUCGUCUCCUUGAUUCCUAUUGGAGAUUAGGAAUGAUUUAAUUAGAGAUCAUGAUGAUGAUUUAGUAUCUAAAAUCUGUUUAUCUGUACAAAUCCUAUACGUUGUUAUACAUUGGUUGGUGGAUGAACACAGGACAUGCAGCCUCGUAGAGUUGCAGCCAUGUUUUUUUCUCGUCGUGAUGCUGAAGUUGGUUACAUCGUUCGUUUUGAGGAAACCAGAACCGUGCUUAAGUAAGCUCUGUCUCUCUUUAGCUUCUCUUCUUUAUAAUCUUAUGUACUUUUGUGGCUAAUUAUGUGUUACUUGGGAGCAAUGGAUGGUGAAGGUAACUUGACAAAGACAGGUAAGAUAAUGAUCAGUGAGUUCCCCUUGGAUCCACAGAUCCUGUAUUCAACUUCUCAAAUGAGAUUCUCUCGGUUUCAGCCAUGCUCUCAGGUACCACCCCUUUACUUUCGUUUUCUUGAAAAGAUUCUUGCUAGCUUUGGUUAGGUAUGUAGUGAUUAUCAGUUAUAAUCAAGUAUUAGAGUUAGGUUAUCAUCAGCAGUCUCUAGUCUUAGGUUCUGCAUACCCAUGCAAGUAAGUGCUGAUGCAGAUACUAGUUGCAGUUUCUCAGUUAUUCUCAUUGCCUUUAUGCAUCUGUUGACUUCUUCCAUGGACCUCUUCUUUUAUAAAUACCAAUUCUUUCUCUGCUUUAUUCAGCCUGUAAAGGAUCAAAAAGCAGCAGAUGAAGAAGCUAAAGCUAGAUUUGGACACAUUGAUGGAGAUCAUCUAAACAGUGUUGAAUCGUCUACCACGCUUUUAAGCAAAAACAGUAAGUGAUCAUCCCUUUCUCUUCCUCUUUUGUCAAUUACAAUUUACGGUAAUUAACUUGGUUAAUGUAAAAAUUCUUACAGAUGAAGAUCCCAAUUGGUGCCUAUGAAAUCUACAGACAAUGUUAGACAGCAGCUCUUCCAGAUAGAUAACAACAACAAUGUGGUUCUCUGUUUUAAAAGUCUUCACUUUGCAAGUUGCUGAAAGCAGAGGUGUACACUGACUACAUUCAAGUACACUUCCUCUCUCUUCUUCUCUGAUCAAGAUUCAGAAACUUUAAGCAUUACUAAAUACCCAUCAUUAACAACAACUCUAAUGACUCUGCAGGGAUCAUAUUGCUCCAAGUGGUUAUAUCAAGAUCCCUACCGUAAACUCAAGCCCUUAUCUUUCUAAUCCUCAAAUCAUUUCCAAUUACAUAAAAUACUUCAAUCUUUGUGAUCUGUUUUCUCAGGAAAUGUCAAAGUAUUUGGAACACUCCAAGUAUCUGCCAAAGCUCAACAACGAGAGACCUAACAAGAGGAACCCCAUUUUUAAAGACCGGUUCACUAGCUUGCACAACUUGGUCCUCGUCAUGGUGCUUCUCUUUCUUAAACAACCUGAAGAUGUGCAGCACUCAUUUUAACUACUAUUAUCAACCAUGCUUGCCGGAUAUUUCAUGCAAGUGGCUCACGUAGAACGCACUUGACAGCCAAACACAAGUAUGUCAAGAAAAAUUCAGUUUAUAUUGUUGUUUCCAUUUAAACAUUAUCCUCUUGUGUUUCAUCUCAUGGUUGAAAAUUCUGGGUUUCAUUUGCAUCCAUCAAAUUGCUUGGAUCACAAACCUGAGUGGGUGUAACCUACAACGAAUAUGUUGCUUGGAUCACAAGCUAGUAGAUGUUGCUCCUCAUGAAACGUGUCCUCGAGAAGCUGGGAGGAGGAAGAGAGCAAGAACCGGAAAAGAAGAACAUUCAUAUCCUCAUAAGCAGGUUCGUGAUACUCGUCGUCAUCUUUUAAUUUGGUUUUGAGAAUUGAAUUCGAGUGGUAUUAUGCAUAGAGAUGAUAUCUCUGAUUCUCUCAUGGGUUUGUUUUGUAUUAUGUGUAACAUAUAGGUAGUUCUUCCCUCAUGAUGAUCCAGACAUCACAGCUUUGCAGGUUACUUUCUUACCAUUUUUUUUUUUUUGAUUAAGGAUAAUGAUUUUGAUUUUAAAAUAUACAAAAAGUAAAAAAGUUUUUAUGUUUUUUUUUCACUUCUGAUUUUUAUAAUUUAAAACUAAAUAUCAAAAUUUUUACUUUUUACCAAAUAUUUUUCAAGUAAAUAGUUUUACAUUUUAAGUUAACCAAAAUGUUUUUUUUUUAUAAUUAUUUUGUUGUAUCUAAGUGUUAAAUUAAAUACGUCGAAAAUAAACCGAACCUAGCAUCCAGUCCCUUUGUGGUCCGUAAGUUUGGUGUAAAAGUUCAACAUGUUUUCGCGUAUGGUAAAUUUAACGCUUAGACGCUUCAAAGUUUUUUUUUAUAAAUACUAUUUUAAGUAAAUUGUAUUGAUUUUUAAACUAAAAUUUAUCAUUAUAUAAUAUGUUUUUUAAAAAUAGCUUGAACAAUGCUAAUAUACACCAAAAUGGUAUAUUAAAAAUCUGUCUUUUUCUAAAACUACCAAAACCAAAACGAUUCAUUUAAUUAGAGGGAGUCUAAACGCUCUGUUUUGCUGUUAUUCCAACCGCUCGUUUUUGGACACCGUUACAACGAAAGAGAGAGAUCCAUAGUGGAAAUAUCACUGGAAAAAAUUGGAGUUAAUCUUACAUUUUAAAAAAAAACUUUUAUAGCAAUACCAAGUAGAAAACGCCGAUUACAAUACCAAAACGGUCAACAUGGCCACAUGCCUAUAUAAAAAGAAAAAAAAAGGAAAAGAAAAGAUUGAAAAGAAAGUUGAAAAAGAUAAAGGGCUCAGACCCAACAACAAUACAAAAAGGGUAAAAAGAUUACAAGGCUUGAAAACGUUAAGGCCACAGGCCCAAACGAGGAAGAACAACUACUAACCAGCUCUUGGAAGGCUUCCUCUUACAUUUCCCUUGAAAACUACGCGGUCCGAAGUAACGGCCUAGUUUUUGUGAAGAAGAUGUUUCCAUGACAAUACUUAGACCAUGACUGGGAGAUGAUAAUGAUGGUCCAAGAUUUGUUAAGAAUUAAUGGUCUAAGUAUUGUUCAACUCCAAAAACUUCAAAAUGUAAAACGUGGCCAUUUAACUUCACUAGUGGCAUAAGCCAUAGAGUGGAAUAAGAUGGCAUAUAGUCUUCUGUUUCUUUCUCUUCAAAGAUAUACAUUCCAGCCUAACUAGUUCAAUUUAACCAAGAAACCAAAAUAAACCAAAUCGAGCUCGAUUCGGUUACAAUUUAACCGAGCUCACAUGGUUAAGUGUGUAUUUCAAUAACGCUCACUACAACAAGUAGUACAAAGUAUGGCUCACAUCAUAAAUGUCUUGACUACUUCCAGAACGCGGUUCACCUCCACCAAGAUAAAAACUCAGAGCUAAACUCGAUUCAACUUGGUUUUUAAUUCCAUUAGACAAAGAUACAACAUUCUACAAGAUCAUCCUUGCUAAACAAAAACAGUAGUAGACUAGUAGCAGUAAAGUAAACACAACCCACUAGAGCAAGUAUACGAAUACUUGUACAUAAUAACCAUCUUCUCACUAAUCCCACCAAACGAACAACAACAAGUACCAAACCAAUGAUCAGCAGAUUCUCGCCAACUAAUACACGACAACCAUUUCAGAGAAAUCGAAAAGUUCCUUCUUUGUUAACCUAGUUGAGCAAUUUCUAAAGUAAAUAUGAACUCCUCCCAUUGAAGACAGAGUCAUGAGAUCAUAACCCAUCCCCAAAGGCGCCGCCUUUUCACUAGAAUCAAUCGCCAAAUUAAAGUCUGAGACUAUAUGAUGAUCAACAGGAAGUAACAAAACAAGUCUAACCUCAAUAUGAUCGUUUAAAGCUUUGAAAUUUACAGUGGAUUCAACAUCGAGCAGAACCCUAGGAACAAGAACACGGAGAGAUACAAUCUCUUCUUUGCCUGUGCCUUCUUCUUCGUCGUCGUCGUCGUCGUCAUUGAUCCAUGUGACGAAAAAGCUGAGAUUUUUCAAGGAUGAUUGAAACAUUGAGGCUUUUGCAGUGCCUCCAUUGGAAAAAUUGCUUUGUUUCGAUUUUUUCACUUACUAAAUUUUAUUGUGUUACAGAUAUCAAACCGACCCGACAUGACCCGACCGAGUUCGUAAUUUUGUAUAUGUUUAUUUCGGUUAAAAUCAUUAUCAUACGUUACUUCUUUAACGGUUGGGUAUAAUUUAUAACGUAGAAAAUCAUGAUACAUAUAUGAAUAGCAUGUUUCAGUAUUGAGAUUUGAAAUUUUAGAAACUAUCUAGUAAUAUUUUGUUACCGUUAGGAUGAAAAAAGAAAAGGAAAUAACAAAAAACGAAAUCUCUUAAUUUCCUUAAAAAAGUAUAAUUAAAUCUGACCGUUAUGAGAUUAAUAUCAAUCUCCUUUCUUUCACACAACUCAACGCUUCUUCUUCUUCAUUCAUCCUUGAGAGAUAAUUCAAAAACUCUCUCUUCUUCUUCUUAUAUCCUUUUCUAAACCCUAAAACGAUAAAGAUCUGUUAGGUUAAAGAUUGGAAAAGUAUUUUAUAUAAUCGUUUCGUUCAUUGAUUGAAUGAUCAGAUCGAUCGCUCUGUCUUCUUCUUCUUCUUAAUUCUAAAUCAGUAUCGGUUUCACGAGAGACUACGACGAAAUUGGAAAAGUGAAGAGAGGAAUCGAGCGAGAAGUAUUCGUAAUAAGUCUCUGUAAAUUCCAAGUAGAACCCGAUCGAGGCGAUGAUGAUGAUGAUGAUGAUCCGUAAGGGUAAGAUUGGAAAAAGUACUUUUAUAUCAUCGUUUCGUUUUGUUUCGUUUCAUUGAUUGAAUUUGAAUGAUAAGAUCAGAUCGAUCUCCUCUGUUCUUCUUCUUCUUCUUCUUCAGUCUAUAUUUCAAUAUUGAUUUUCACCGAGUCUUGCCACGGAGAAGCUUUCACCACUACGACGGAACUCAAAAGUGAAGAGAGGAAUCGAGCGAGGUAUUCGCAAAAGCUUGAUUUAUAUUUUAAAUUAGAGAUCAUGAUGAUUUAGUAUCUUAGAGAAUGAAUUGCUAACUCUAAAAUCUGUUUAUCUUUACAAAUCCUAUACUUCGUUAUACAUUGGUUGGUGGAUGCACACAGGACAUGCAGCCUCGUAAAGUUGCAGCCAUUUAUGUGUCUCGUCGUGUUGCUGAAGUUGGUUACGUACAUCGUUCUUUUUGAGGACACUAGAACCGUGCUUAA
This 5346-nucleotide long non-coding RNA is filed under the name Capsella rubella. RNAcentral describes it as "long non-coding RNA (CRUB_LNC002316)". The record is from RNAcentral. Lineage: Eukaryota; Viridiplantae; Streptophyta; Magnoliopsida; Brassicales; Brassicaceae.